This 1684-nucleotide long non-coding RNA is filed under the name Canis lupus familiaris (dog). Its description in RNAcentral is "lncRNA (ENSCAFG00000052463.1)". The record is from RNAcentral. Lineage: Eukaryota; Metazoa; Chordata; Mammalia; Carnivora; Canidae.
GCUCUCCAUUCCUACUCCACUGACCCUCUUAUCACACCAAUCUCUCAUGUGCCUCCCUCACUCAAAGAUGUUUGGUGACUCCCUGGGCUCAAAUGAUCUCCCUCAUUAGAUCUUUCUCAAUUUUCCGUGCUGUCAUCCACUUCAUCCCCCAUUUAUCCAGAGCUCCUAACAGUUUUUUUUUUUUUGCCUUUUAAUAUAGAAAUUGAUGUAAAACGUCCUUAUUCUCUGGUAUAAUUUAAGCUCAUUGAGGACAGAGACUAUAUUUAUAUUUUCCCCCAGAAUGUAGCACUUCUCCUUGCAUAUGGAAAAUGAAUGUUGGUUGAAUGAAUAUUUUAAGUAUCCUGUACCUCAAAGAUUGAUCCUAAUAAUAUAUUUUACAUCCAAAUAAAUUGACUUUUUUUGGGGAGAGCACAAUGGUAGUUAAUAAGACACCGUUCAGGUUUAAACACUUAUCCUUUUCGGGGGGUGGGGGGGUGGGGGUAGGGGGGAGUCAGUGCUCCACAGCAGUUGCUAGGUUACAGGCCACAGCAACAAAAAGAAGUCACAGGAAGAUGUUACCACAAGGUGGCAGAAUGACAUUGCUCUUCAAUAUAGGUUUUUUCAGAAGGAAUUCUCUUUGGAAGUGUUGUUAGCUUACCCGUUAAGCUACCUUAGAGGCUGACAUGUCCCUAGAAGAGAGUGCAGUAGGAGCUGAGGGGUCCUCCUCACCCCUUCCCACUGAGCCCUGACUUUUGCAGAGGGCAUCAGAGAAGGGGAGGGCCCAUGUCCUGAGCUCACUGCGCUGGGAGGGAUUAGGGCUCAGUGGGUCUGUCUCCUGCUCAGCCCUGCCCAGACGCAGCCACCACAGCUUCAGCACUUGGCGGGGAGGGGUAGUCAGGGUGCUAAGGAAGCUUCUGCUGGCAACUUCCCUCCUGCGCCAGGUCCUUCCACAGACCUCAGAGGGCCAAGCAGAAGCUGACAUGUGAUGAUGUGAACAAUGGGUACCCCGUAUGCCCCUGUGUGUGUAAGCAGCCCAUGUUCAGUCAUCCAGGGUGCCCACAUCACUAGUGCCCUGGACCGAGCAGAAGGCAGACAGCAAAGGAGUGUGAAAACGAAGUUUCUGCCCUGGCUAGGCAACAGUGGGGCUGGGCUUCGUGUCCAAGCAGUCUUCAGGCUCAUGCCUCCCAUUUCAGUGCCCACUGCCUCCCCUGAACGGGGUGUGAGGAAACAAAGGAGGGCUUGGUCUGUAGGGAACUGAGGUCACAUGAUCUGAGACUCAACUGCAAGUUGUGUGGAUCAUCCUCCGAAGGCCAAUCCAGACAUCUGAGCAACCCUAGCAAGGAUGAGACCCAGACCCUUCACCCCAUCUGUGCCUGACAUAAACUACAGUUACUCUGAGGAGAGGAACCAACCAAAUGGAUUGCUUUCUACCCUCCAGGGAAUCCAUGACUCAAAGUAAAAAUUAAAUUCAGUACCAGAAAAGUAAAGAAGAAAAUCAUUUCUUAGGUCUCUCACUUAGUAGGCUGAGGAAAAGGAAGAAAGCAAACACUAUUUGAAUAUCUACUCUAGCCCAGGUAUACCGAGCCUCCCCACAGCAGCAAGGGUUAAUAAUUCCCCCUCCAUGUUAACUGAGCACCACCAGGAGCAGAGGUCGAGGCGCAUGUGGAGCCAGAAUCCAAACCUAGAUCUGUCCAGUGGAAAAACA